GGUCUCCGUAGGUGAACCUGCGGAAGGAUCAUUACCUAGAGUUUGUAGACUUCGGUCUGCUACCUCUUACCCAUGUCUUUUGAGUACCUUCGUUUCCUCGGCGGGUCCGCCCGCCGAUUGGACAACAUUCAAACCCUUUGCAGUUGCAAUCAGCGUCUGAAAAAACAUAAUAGUUACAACUUUCAACAACGGAUCUCUUGGUUCUGGCAUCGAUGAAGAACGCAGCGAAAUGCGAUAAGUAGUGUGAAUUGCAGAAUUCAGUGAAUCAUCGAAUCUUUGAACGCACAUUGCGCCCCUUGGUAUUCCAUGGGGCAUGCCUGUUCGAGCGUCAUUUGUACCUUCAAGCUCUGCUUGGUGUUGGGUGUUUGUCUCGCCUCUGCGUGUAGACUCGCCUUAAAACAAUUGGCAGCCGGCGUAUUGAUUUCGGAGCGCAGUACAUCUCGCGCUUUGCACUCAUAACGACGACGUCCAAAAGUACAUUUUUACACUCUUGACCUCGGAUCAGGUAGGGAUACCCGCUGAACUUA
RNAcentral lists this ribosomal RNA (527 nucleotides) under uncultured fungus. Its description in RNAcentral is "eukaryotic LSU rRNA". The stretch from base 178 to 331 matches the Rfam family "5.8S ribosomal RNA". The record is from RNAcentral. Lineage: Eukaryota; Fungi.